RNAcentral lists this ribosomal RNA (293 nucleotides) under uncultured bacterium. Its description in RNAcentral is "partial 16S ribosomal RNA". It matches the Rfam family "Bacterial small subunit ribosomal RNA", at positions 505 to 796 of the family's 1533-position model. The record is from RNAcentral.
GUGCCAGCCGCCGCGGUAAUACGUAGGGGGCGAGCGUUGUCCGGAAUCAUUGGGCGUAAAGAGCUCGUAGGCGGCUCAGAAAGUCGGCUGUGAAAUCCCGGGGCUCAACCCCGUGACUGCAGUCGAUACUGCUGUGGCUAGAGUCCGGUAGAGGAGAGUGGAAUUCCCGGUGUAGCGGUGAAAUGCGCAGAUAUCGGGAGGAACACCAGCAGCGAAGGCGGCUCUCUGGGCCGGAACUGACGCUGAGGAGCGAAAGCGUGGGGAGCAAACAGGAUUAGAUACCCUAGUAGUCC